RNAcentral lists this ribosomal RNA (1218 nucleotides) under metagenome. Its description in RNAcentral is "bacterial SSU rRNA". It matches the Rfam family "Bacterial small subunit ribosomal RNA", at positions 298 to 1496 of the family's 1533-position model. The record is from RNAcentral.
GGAUGGUCAGCUACACUGGGACUGAGACACUGCCCAGACUCCUACGGGAGGCUGCAGUCGAGGAUCAUCGGCAAUGCGCGAAAGCGUGACCAUGCGACGCUGCGUGGAGGAUGACGGCCUUCGGGUUGUAAACUCCUGUCAUGCGGGAAAAAUUGCGGCCGUUAGAUAAUAUCGGUUGCUUGAUGGUACCGCAAGAGGAAGCCACGGCUAACUCUGUGCCAGCAGCCGCGGUAAUACAGAGGUGGCGAGCGUUGUUCGGAUUUACUGGGCGUAAAGGGUGCGUAGGUGGUUUCGUAUGUCGGUUGUGAAAGCCCACGGCUCAACCGUGGAAUUGCAUCCGAAACUGCGGGACUAGAGUGCAGGAGGGGAGAGCGGAAUUCUUGGUGUAGCGGUGAAAUGCGUUGAUAUCAAGAAGAACACCGGUGGCGAAGGCGGCUCUCUGGAAUGUAACUGACACUGAGGCACGAAAGUUGGGGGAGCGAACAGGAUUAGAUACCCUGGUAGUCCCAACCGUAAACGGUGUGCACUUGGUGUGGGGAGUAUUAAUCCUCCCCGUGCCGGAGCUAACGCGUUAAGUGCACCGCCUGGGGAGUACGGCCGCAAGGUUAAAACUCAAAGAAAUUGACGGGGGCCCGCACAAGCGGAGGAGCAUGUGGCUUAAUUCGAUGCAACGCGAAGAACCUUACCAGGGCUUGACAUGCAGCUGCACGCCCCGAGAAAUCGGGGAAGCCUUCGAGGGUGCUGCACAGGUGCUGCAUGGCUGUCGUCAGUUCGUGCCGUGAGGUGUUGGGUUAAGUCCCGCAACGAACGCAACCCUUGUGGUUAGUUGCCACAGCAGGUGAUGAGCCUGCGAGCACUCUAGCCAGACUGCCCGUGCAAGCGGGAGGAAGGUGGGGAUGACGUCAAGUCAGUAUGGCCCUUACGCCCUGGGCUGCACACGUGCUACAAUGGCGGGUACAAUGGGAUGCAAUACCGCGAGGUGGAGCAAAUCCUCAGAACCCGCCCCAGUUCGGAUUGGAGUCUGCAACUCGACUCCAUGAAGUUGGAUUCGCUAGUAACGGCGCAUCAGCUACGACGCCGUGAAUACGUUCCCGGGCCUUGUACACACCGCCCGUCACAUCAUGAAAGCCGUCUGCACCCGAAGUCGCUGAGCUAACCCGCUAGGGAGGCAGGUGCCGAAGGUGUGGGUGGUGAUUGGGAUGAAGUCGUAGGGCCGGA